Molecule: ribosomal RNA, 188 nt
Filed under: Cyclobacteriaceae bacterium YHN15
Lineage: Bacteria; Pseudomonadati; Bacteroidota; Cytophagia; Cytophagales; Cyclobacteriaceae
Description: partial 16S ribosomal RNA
Rfam family: Bacterial small subunit ribosomal RNA
Source: RNAcentral
UACAAUGGAGAGUUUGAUCCUGGCUCAGGAUGAACGCUAGCGGCAGGCCUAAUACAUGCAAGUCGAACGGCAGACGAUCUUUCGGGAUUGUUGAGAGUGGCGCACGGGUGCGUAACGCGUAUGCAACCUGGCUCAUAGAGGGGGAUAGCCCGGGGAAACCCGGAUUAAUACCCCAUGGUAUUGUUUCA